ACGCACGCUGGCGGCGUGCCUAAUACAUGCAAGUCGAGCGAAGUUUUUCUGGUGCUUGCACCGGAAAAACUUAGCGGCGAACGGGUGAGUAACACGUAAAGAACCUGCCUCAUAGACUGGGACAACUAUUGGAAACGAUAGCUAAUACCGGAUAACAGCAUUAACUGCAUGGUUGAUGUUUAAAAGUUGGUUUUGCUAACACUAUGAGAUGGCUUUGCGGUGCAUUAGCUAGUUGGUGGGGUAAAGGCCUACCAAGGCGACGAUGCAUAGCCGACCUGAGAGGGUGAUCGGCCACACUGGGACUGAGACACGGCCCAGACUCCUACGGGAGGCAGCAGUAGGGAAUCUUCCGCAAUGGGCGAAAGCCUGACGGAGCAACGCCGCGUGAGUGAAGAAGGAUUUCGGUUCGUAAAGCUCUGUUGUUAGGGAAGAAUGAUUGUGUAGUAACUAUACACAGUAGAGACGGUACCUAACCAGAAAGCCACGGCUAACUACGUG
RNAcentral lists this ribosomal RNA (498 nucleotides) under uncultured bacterium. Its description in RNAcentral is "partial 16S ribosomal RNA". It matches the Rfam family "Bacterial small subunit ribosomal RNA", at positions 29 to 507 of the family's 1533-position model. The record is from RNAcentral.